GAAAUGAAGAUUAAUACCCCAUGGUAUUAUUGAUUCGCAUGGAUUAAUAAUUAAAGAUUUAUCGGUAGAAGAUGGCUAUGCGUCCUAUUAGUUAGUUGGAGUGGUAACGGCACCCCAAGACAGCGAUAGGUAGGGGCCCUGAGAGGGGGAUCCCCCACACUGGUACUGAGACACGGACCAGACUCCUACGGGAGGCAGCAGUGAGGAAUAUUGGGCAAUGGAGGCAACUCUGACCCAGCCAUGCCGCGUGCAGGAAGACUGCCCUAUGGGUUGUAAACUGCUUUUAUACAGGAAGAAACUUACCCACGUGUGGGUAACUGACGGUACUGUAAGAAUAAGGAUCGGCUAACUCCGUGCCAGCAGCCGCGGUAAUACGGAGGAUCCAAGCGUUAUCCGGAAUCAUUGGGUUUAAAGGGUCCGUAGGUGGAUUAAUAAGUCAGAGGUGAAAUCCUGCAGCCUCAACUGUAGAACUGCCUUU
RNAcentral lists this ribosomal RNA (478 nucleotides) under uncultured bacterium. RNAcentral describes it as "bacterial SSU rRNA". It matches the Rfam family "Bacterial small subunit ribosomal RNA", at positions 153 to 628 of the family's 1533-position model. The record is from RNAcentral.